CUUUUUCUUUCCCGGAGCUUGCUCCACCGAAAGAAAAGGAGUGGCGAACGGGUGAGUAACACGUGGGUAACCUGCCCAUCAGAAGGGGAUAACACUUGGAAACAGGUGCUAAUACCGUAUAACAAUCGAAACCGCAUGGUUUUGAUUUGAAAGGCGCUUUCGGGUGUCGCUGAUGGAUGGACCCGCGGUGCAUUAGCUAGUUGGUGAGGUAACGGCUCACCAAGGCCACGAUGCAUAGCCGACCUGAGAGGGUGAUCGGCCACAUUGGGACUGAGACACGGCCCAAACUCCUACGGGAGGCAGCAGUAGGGAAUCUUCGGCAAUGGACGAAAGUCUGACCGAGCAACGCCGCGUGAGUGAAGAAGGUUUUCGGAUCGUAAAACUCUGUUGUUAGAGAAGAACAAGGAUGAGAGUAACUGUUCAUCCCUUGACGGUAUCUAACCAGAAAGCCACGGCUAACUACGUGCCAGCAGCCGCGGUAAUACGUAGGUGGCAAGCGUUGUCCGGAUUUAUUGGGCGUAAAGCGAGCGCAGGCGGUUUCUUAAGUCUGAUGUGAAAGCCCCCGGCUCAACCGGGGAGGGUCAUUGGAAACUGGGAGACUUGAGUGCAGAAGAGGAGAGUGGAAUUCCAUGUGUAGCGGUGAAAUGCGUAGAUAUAUGGAGGAACACCAGUGGCGAAGGCGACUCUCUGGUCUGUAACUGACGCUGAGGCUCGAAAGCGUGGGGAGCAAACAGGAUUAGAUACCCUGGUAGUCCACGCCGUAAACGAUGAGUGCUAAGUGUUGGAGGGUUUCCGCCCUUCAGUGCUGCAGCUAACGCAUUAAGCACUCCGCCUGGGGAGUACGACCGCAAGGUUGAAACUCAAAGGAAUUGACGGGGGCCCGCACAAGCGGUGGAGCAUGUGGUUUAAUUCGAAGCAACGCGAAGAACCUUACCAGGUCUUGACAUCCUUUGACCACUCUAGAGAUAGAGCUUCCCCUUCGGGGGCAAAGUGACAGGUGGUGCAUGGUUGUCGUCAGCUCGUGUCGUGAGAUGUUGGGUUAAGUCCCGCAACGAGCGCAACCCUUAUUGUUAGUUGCCAUCAUUUAGUUGGGCACUCUAGCAAGACUGCCGGUGACAAACCGGAGGAAGGUGGGGAUGACGUCAAAUCAUCAUGCCCCUUAUGACCUGGGCUACACACGUGCUACAAUGGGAAGUACAACGAGUCGCGAAGUCGCGAGGCUAAGCUAAUCUCUUAAAGCUUCUCUCAGUUCGGAUUGUAGGCUGCAACUCGCCUACAUGAAGCCGGAAUCGCUAGUAAUCGCGGAUCAGCACGCCGCGGUGAAUACGUUCCCGGGCCUUGUACACACCGCCCGUCACACCACGAAAGUUUGUAACACCCGAAGUCGGUGAG
RNAcentral lists this ribosomal RNA (1392 nucleotides) under Enterococcus thailandicus. Its description in RNAcentral is "bacterial SSU rRNA". It matches the Rfam family "Bacterial small subunit ribosomal RNA", at positions 69 to 1434 of the family's 1533-position model. Lineage: Bacteria; Bacillati; Bacillota; Bacilli; Lactobacillales; Enterococcaceae. The record is from RNAcentral.